AAUAAUGGUUGUUUUUUUGCAAGUUGGGCCGAUUCGGCCUGGCGACAUAGCCAAAUUGCAGGGAGCUCCUAAAGCUCAGUGGUACUAACCAGCGGUGGAAACACGGUUGGGGCCUGUGUUAGCAGCACAGGGGAUAGUAAAAAGUCACUGAGAUGUUACAAUGGGCAAUCCGCAGCAAAGCCUCUAAGGGUCUCCGGGCCUACGGGGAAUGUUCACAGACUAAAUGGUGAUGGGAUAUCCUAACCGGAUGUUCUAAGAGAUAGUCGGUCCUCGGGGGAAACCUCGAGGCGUCAAGUCACGGAGGACGCCCGCCGUCCUCCAUCAUAAGAAACGUUCCGUAGGUGAACCUGCGGAAGGAUCAUUACAGAGUUCAUGCCCUUCGGGGUAGACCUCCCACCCUUGUGUAUUUAUACCAUGUUGCUUUGGCGGGCCGCCGCAAGGCUACCGGCUCCGGCUGGUACGUGCCCGCCAGAGGACCCAAACCCUGAAAUUAGUGUCGUCCGAGUACUAUAUAAUAGUUAAAACUUUCAACAACGGAUCUCUUGGUUCUGGCAUCGAUGAAGAACGCAGCGAAAUGCGAUAAGUAAUGUGAAUUGCAGAAUUCAGUGAAUCAUCGAAUCUUUGAACGCACAUUGCGCCCCUUGGCAUUCCGGGGGGCAUGCCUGUUCGAGCGUCAUUUCAACCCUCACGCCUGGCGUGGUAUUGGGCCUUUCGCGGGGUUUUUGGACCCCGCGGGCCUCAAAGCAAGUGGCGGUGCCGUC
RNAcentral lists this unclassified non-coding RNA (761 nucleotides) under Lambertella advenula. RNAcentral describes it as "partial contains 18S rRNA, ITS1, 5.8S rRNA, ITS2, 28S rRNA". The stretch from base 523 to 676 matches the Rfam family "5.8S ribosomal RNA". The record is from RNAcentral. Lineage: Eukaryota; Fungi; Ascomycota; Leotiomycetes; Helotiales; Rutstroemiaceae.